UGUGGGAGCUGGCUUGCCUGCGAUAGCUAUCUGUCAGUUGAAACAUGUGUGACUGAUACACCGCCAUCGCAGGCAAGCCAGCUCCCACA
RNAcentral lists this unclassified non-coding RNA (89 nucleotides) under Pseudomonas cedrina. The record is from RNAcentral. Lineage: Bacteria; Pseudomonadati; Pseudomonadota; Gammaproteobacteria; Pseudomonadales; Pseudomonadaceae.